AAAGUCGUAACAAGGUAACCGUAGGUGAACCUGCGGUUGGAUCAUUAAUAAAUUUUAGAGCAGUAGGGGGUUGGGGCUCUUGAGUCUUGACUUCUCGCCUGUUUCUUAACAUUUUGUGAAUCGUUUAUUGUCUCUUGCGGUUGGAGGCUCUCUUUUGGGGGUCAACUCCGCAUGUGAAUCUUAACAUUGUAAUAUAACCAUUAGUCUUUAAAAUUAAACUUAAAAAAUUUAAAAACAACUUUUGACAACGGAUCUCUAGGCUCUC
This 265-nucleotide unclassified non-coding RNA is filed under the name fungal sp. RNAcentral's name for it is "partial contains small subunit ribosomal RNA, internal transcribed spacer 1, and 5.8S ribosomal RNA". The stretch from base 1 to 47 matches the Rfam family "Eukaryotic small subunit ribosomal RNA", at positions 1785 to 1831 of the family's 1831-position model. Lineage: Eukaryota; Fungi. The record is from RNAcentral.